RNAcentral lists this long non-coding RNA (1642 nucleotides) under Homo sapiens (human). Its description in RNAcentral is "non-protein coding lnc-TBC1D22A-5:1". Lineage: Eukaryota; Metazoa; Chordata; Mammalia; Primates; Hominidae. The record is from RNAcentral.
CAAAGAUGUGCACACACACAUACACAUGCAUACAUACAUGUGCAGACACACACACACGGUGCCCUACAAUUCAGGGCAGGGGGAGGCAGGUGCCCUUGAGAGUGGCUCGGCUGCAGCUGUGGUUGUCCUCCAGGCUGGUGGUUCCCUGACCUGGCUGAGCCUCAGAAUCACCUGAAGCUUUUAACAAGGUGUCCCCAGCCCUCCAUCUGAGAUUCUGACUCCUAGGGCCUGAGACAUGUCCAGGGAUCUUGAUUUGCUCUACCUCUCUGAGCUCUUGACCACUCUACCUCCAGAUAGUAAAAGCCUUCAAGGCAUAGAUCAAAUAGCCUCUCUACUGUUGGGCCCUCCUUGACUCCCGGAAGGUUAAUUGUCCUCUCUUCUGGGUUCUCAUGGUUUCUUUUUCAUUCUCCGACACAGCAUUUGUCUUAGAAUCCUGUGUGUGUGCCUUUCCCUAGGCUGUGAGCUCUGCAGGGGCACCAUUAUGUCAGAUUUCCCUCUGAUCCCAGCAGGGCUUCCUGACCUUCAGAGUGUGGGUCUCACUUGAUCUGAACCCACCUUCACAGCUCUAAGGGAGUCAGUCCAGCUCCUGCCUAGUUAUUUCUGCCAGUUUUUAUGCCACACUGGCUCUGUGCUUCUAGUAUCUGCAUUUAAUGCUUAGAUUCUACCAGAGCUAGUUUGGGCACAAAGUUUCCAGAUGCUCCUCACAUCCAAGUAUUUGUGAAGAAUUUGAAGGCUGGGGGUUUGUGGGAGGGGUCACAUUGCAAGCUCCAGUGUCGGCCAUCUUGCUCGCGACAGCCUCCUUUUCUGGCUCCUUCCUGGUGCAGCUUGGAAAUCCUUCCCUUAUCUCUCACAGAGAAGUUCCGCCCAUCUUCAGAGCACUGAGAGCUCAGCUUCUGCCCCAGGAAUCUCUUCUGAAAAAACGCAAAGGAAUUCUGGUGACUGGAUUUGAUCCACUUGGCUACUUUGCAGGAGGUAGAGACAUGUAUCAGCUCCCACUAGGAGUGUUCUGCUCAGCAUGAAGUGCCACCUAUUUAGGGAGAAGAGGAGUCGAAGAUGUUUCCUUGAGGGAAGUUCACAAUCACAGAAAGAGACCAAGAGGAGGCUGAGAGGGGAUGGCAACCUGUGCUAGAGGUAGAUAAAAUAGUUGCUCUGGAAGUUUCCCAGAGUGACCACACCCUGAACCAAGAGGUUAGACUGAAGCCAGCUGUUUUCUUCAACCAAGAGGUUAGACUGUGGCCAGGUGUCUCCUUCAACCAAGAGGUUAGACUGUGGCCAGGUGUCUCCUCCACCGAGAGGUUAAACCAUGGCCAGCUGUUUCAUUCAACCCAGAGGUUAGACUGCAGCCAGGUGUCUCCUUCAACCAAGAGGUUAGACCGUGGCGAAGUGUCUCCUUCAGCUGAGAGACCACAGCCAGUGCCUCCUUCAACCAAUAGGUUAGACCACGGCCAGGUGCCUCCUUCAACCGAGAGGUUAGACUGCAGCCAGGUGUUUCAUUCAACCAAGAGGUUAGACCAUGGCCAAGUAUCUCCUUCAAUCAAGAGGCUGGACAACAGCCAGGUGUUUCCUUGUGGAAAUCAUUUGCAGGUGGCAAAUGGUUUUUGGGUCAUGAAAUCAGCCCAGUGUGUCACAGCCAGGUGAACUG